GGCUCAGUUGGUAGAGCAUGGUGUUUGCAACGCCAGGGUUGUGGGUUCAAUUCCCAC
This is a non-coding RNA of Salmo salar (Atlantic salmon), 57 nucleotides long. The record is from Rfam. Lineage: Eukaryota; Metazoa; Chordata; Actinopteri; Salmoniformes; Salmonidae.